RNAcentral lists this long non-coding RNA (1513 nucleotides) under Homo sapiens (human). RNAcentral describes it as "HSALNT0393008". Lineage: Eukaryota; Metazoa; Chordata; Mammalia; Primates; Hominidae. The record is from RNAcentral.
AAAAGCAGGCUGCCCCAGCUGUGUGUCGCAACCGGCUGCGGUGGGUUUGUGUGGUGUGGACGGUUAGUUCUUUUUGUUCUUCCCAAUAAUAUUUGCUGCUGUUCAUUGAUUGGGUCCUGGCUGCCUUUAUGAGCUGUAACACUCACUGUGAAGGUCUGCAGCUUCACUCCUGAAGCCCACGAGACCAGGAACCCACCAGAAGGAAAAAAUUCGGGAUAUAUCUGAACAUCAGAGGGAGCAAACUCCGGACCCACCAUCUUUAAGAACUGUAACACUCACUGUGAGGGUCUGCAGCGUGUUCUUGAAGUCCGGGAGACCAAGAACCCACCAAUUCCGGACACAGUGGUACUGUCUAGAAGGGGUCCAGUAGAACCAGAAGAGUUUUCUCAGAGAGGAAGCAACAUUUUACAACUGAAUCUACACUACAUAUACAGAAGAGUCCAAAGUUGGAAACCUAAGCAAUCCAAGAAAUCGCUGUCCCUACAGAAGUUAAACAAUAGGAUACUUUCUCUCCUGCUUUAAUAAAUGGUUGUUAUCUUGCUCUGAAGAUAAUUGAAGCAGUGGACAUCUCAUAUCCUUUUCUACUUAUUGGGCUAGAGUCAGAGUCACCCUGACUCUGACUUAUUUUUUAAUUGAUAAGCUCUUCAAGUCAGAGAGAACUUGGUGCAACUCCAGGCUCUCCUAAUUAUUUAUGGAAAUAAAUAAAUAUGGACAAGUCCAUUACUAAGUCUGUAAAAUCGAGAAAAUAUGAUAAACCAUGCAUGAUUAUAUUGAGUAUUUAAUAAAGGAUCUUUGGUACCAGGCACUUAGUAGGCUAUGGCUGUUGCUAUGUCACUCCCAUGCUGUCUACUCUUAAAAGGACUCCUUAGGUAGAAUUAAUUAAUUGUGGCUAAUAAUCUGGGUCAGAUUAUGGAAAGUGAAACGUCUGGAAGAAGGAGAAAAUUGUGGUUGUCUCCAGUGAAAUCUAUUUUUUGUGACCUCCCCUUGCCAGAAGUACCAAGUGGUAGACACAUAUGUGUGACAUUGUAAAACAGGCAAUCAAUUCAUCUCUUGCUACAUCUGAUGCAUAAAAUCAAGUAGAAGCACAUAGACCUAAGCACAGAUUUAGGGUUGAUAAAAAAAAAAAGGCACUUUUAUUGAAGUGAUUUAUGGGCCUUUUGGAUAGGAAAUGUUAAAGAAAGGGGCAGCUUAAGUCAUUUUAAUUAUUUAUGAUUUUAUUGUACCAGCGGAAGUCUCCGGUUCGCUCUAACUUGGAGAUGCUUCUACUAAUGCUGAAGGAAAAAAUCUCGUGAUAAUGGAAGACUCAAUUCUUGUGUUGUUAACUGAAAACAUUACUCACGCUCAUCAAAGUAGUUCACGGAAGUCAUUUAAUGUGGUUGUCUUUUCAGUUGAAAGUAUGCUGACUCUGUUGAUGGUUUCUGCUAAUGCAUAGGACACAAAUAGCAGGCAUGUCUUCAUUUGUGAGUCUUUGUCAUUAUCUGCAUUGAUGGUUUUCUUAAAUUUUAAUUUUCCC